Molecule: ribosomal RNA, 460 nt
Filed under: Erysipelotrichaceae bacterium canine oral taxon 311
Lineage: Bacteria; Bacillati; Bacillota; Erysipelotrichia; Erysipelotrichales; Erysipelotrichaceae
Description: bacterial SSU rRNA
Rfam family: Bacterial small subunit ribosomal RNA
Source: RNAcentral
GAGUUUGAUUCUGGCUCAGGAUGAACGCUGGCGGCGUGCCUAAUACAUGCAAGUUGAACGGACUUGGAGGGUGCUUGCACCUAACAAGUUAGUAGCGAACGGGUGAGUAAUACAUAAGCAACCUACCUAUUAGACUGGGAUAACUAUGGGAAACGAUAGCUAAUACCGGAUAGGUAACUUGAAGGCAUCUUUAAGUUAUUAAAGGUUAGAGACACUAAUAGAUGGGCUUAUGGCGUAUUAGUUAGUUGGUGAGGUAACGGCUCACCAAGACGAUGAUACGUAGCCGGCCUGAGAGGGUGAACGGCCACAUUGGGACUGAGACACGGCCCAGACUCCUACGGGAGGCAGCAGUAGGGAAUUUUCGGCAAUGGGCGCAAGCCUGACCGAGCAACGCCGCGUGAGUGAAGAAGGCCUUCGGGUUGUAAAGCUCUGUUAUAAAUUAAGAAUGGCUAUAAGGGAC